UUCACAGAUCAUUCAGCGUGA
Caenorhabditis elegans is the source of this 21-nucleotide non-coding RNA. The record is from Ensembl. NCBI's taxonomy places the organism in Eukaryota, Metazoa, Nematoda, Chromadorea, Rhabditida, Rhabditidae.